This 253-nucleotide ribosomal RNA is filed under the name uncultured bacterium. RNAcentral's name for it is "partial 16S ribosomal RNA". It matches the Rfam family "Bacterial small subunit ribosomal RNA", at positions 524 to 776 of the family's 1533-position model. The record is from RNAcentral.
UACGAAGGGGGCUAGCGUUGCUCGGAAUUACUGGGCGUAAAGCGCACGUAGGCGGAUUGUUAAGUCGGGGGUGAAACCCUGGAGCUCAACUCCAGAACUGCCUUCGAUACUGGCGAUCUCGAGUUCGGGAGAGGUGAGUGGAACUGCGAGUGUAGAGGUGAAAUUCGUAGAUAUUCGCAAGAACACCAGUGGCGAAGGCGGCUCACUGGCCCGAUACUGACGCUGAGGUGCGAAAGCUAGGGUAGCGAACGGG